CUGUCAACUGAUAGAGAUAUUCCGUAUGUGAGACAUUUUUAUCCUUCUCCAGACUUCCAGUGUAACACACUCUUUCUCCUGGGGUGGUUAAUAAUCUUCUGAGCUCUUGGAAGAAUUACUUGCGAUUCAUAAUUUACAGUUCCAUCUCUUUUUAACUUUCAAAAUCUUCCAGUGUACUUGUCAUUUUGUAUUAAUGAUGUUCUUUUUUUUUUUUUAUGGCUAGUCAUUUGGAAAUUUUUAUAUUCACAGGUAAAACUGCUACAACUGGUUAUAUGUCACGUAGACUGAUUAAAUGCUUAGAGGAUAUAUCUGUUCAAUAUGACAUGACUGUAUGAAAUUCUAGCGGAUUCGUCAUUCAAUUUUUUUUACGGUGAUGAUGGAAUGGAUCCAUCUCAAAUGGAAGGGGCAAAAGGAUUUCCUCUAGAUCUCGAGAGAUUGCGCUUGAAAGUUGAGGCUACUUGUCCGGCUGGAAGAACUGAAAAACUGUCUCCUUCAGAAAUUUCUGAAAUUGUAAAUAAAAGGCUUUCAAAGGAUGAUGCAACUUCUUAUGGUGCUGGGUCUGAUGCCUUCAAUUAAGAAGAAGUUGUUGGUGUUCUUCGAAAAUAUGGGUAAAAGAAGGUGCAGUGUUUUUAUAAAGCAACUACAGGUAUUGUUUCUAAUAGUUUUAGACAGUAUUUUUAUUUCAGUAAUUAAAUAUUGCAUCAAUAGAGGAUCAGGAACCCCAAUUGGUACUCAAUUAAAGAAUAAGAGCUUGAUGGGAAGUAAGAUAGACUUCUCUAGUACACUAUACCACACAAUCCAUACAAACACAAACACACACACACGCACACAUAUACAUGCUACUACUACUCUGAAAUAGUCCCUCUAUAAUACUGAAAUUUGCACUUGCUUUUUUGUUGUCAAAACUCAACAAUGUUGAACAUGUUUUUUUGUAAAAUACUUCCUCCGUUUCACAAUACAUGCACCGUUUUGACUUUCACGUUUGCCAACAUACAAUUUCGACCAUUAAUAACUUUGACGGUAUAUUAGAAAAACUUUUAAAAAGUUAAUAUUUUGAAAAUAUACAUUAAGUAUGUACGAACUUCUACUUUUACGUAUUAGACUAUUAGUUAUAAAAUUUGGUCAAUAUUAGUAUAUAUGCAUUUUUCCCUAGCAAACUGUUGUAGCUUAUUUCAUAAGGAGGAAGAAUCCUUUAAUCACCUUUUACCCUUUUGUUGAUUUGCCUUCUUUGGCACAUAUCUUUUGUCUUGUUUGGGAUGAGCUCAUUUCAAAUUUGUUUUGUGAAUAAAAUUAUUGGGCCUUGGAAAAGAAGGAUUAAGAAAGGUUGAAAGGUUGGCUUGCUGAAGUGUAGAAAUGGUUUCAUUGGCAAUUUGGUGUCCUUGGAAAAGAAAGAACCAAUGGAUAUUUGAGGUAGAGGUUGUUAAGUUAUGAUACAUAUGAAUAAACAUAAAUCAUGCGGAAAAACCAUAAAGCCAGGAAACAUAUUAUUUACACAUAAUCAUUUAGCAUAAUUCAGAUGCAUACACUUUGUAGCGUGCCCUCCCUAGCUGCGCCCGAACCGAACAAGAACAAGUCUUUAGGACUCCAAGUGUCGUCCCUCCGUAGAUAGUCCACAGCACGUCCGGAUCCGCCUUAAGCUUGACCAACUAGAAUCGCCCUUAAGGUUACUAGGAUUUUCGGCUAUUUGGGUUGCAAGUGUUUGCCUGAUUUUUGCUUGAAAAUCUUACCUUUUGAAUACUUCAAAUCUCGAUGCAAAUAUGUGACCCUAGGCACCUAUUUAUAGAGUUUAUGGAAAGGAAUUAUAAUCCUACUAGGAUAUGGAUUUAUUAAUUAGAAUCCUAUUAGAACUCUAAAUAAUAAAUUUAAUCUUUUAGGAUUAGGAUUUACUCAAUGUACGAAUUCCGAUAGGAUUAGGAUUCGUUACGAACACGAGCACACGCACACGCAUGCACGCCCGCACGCAGGCCUUGCGGCCCACGCCAAGCGCACAGCGCAUGCGGCCUCGCAGCCCCAUGGGCUUCGUGCGCGCCCGCCAUUGCUUGGCUGGGCCUGGCCUUGCGUUGGGCCUGGUCGAGCACUUGGCGUGCGGCUUGCUGGGGGUUGGCCUGGCCUCGUGCUGGGCCUUCGUCUAGCAAGCCUCGUCCGAUGCUAAUUCGUACGAUACGCUUUCCGAUUAAAUUCCCGAUUCCGGAAUUCAUUUCCGAUACGAACAAUAUUUAAUAUUUCCGAUUCCGGAAUUAAUUUUCGUUUCGAACAAAUAUUUAAUAUUUCCGUUUCCGGAAUUAUUUUCCGAUUCCGAUAAUAUUUCCGAUUCUGACAAUAUUUCCGUUUCCGGCAAUAUUUCCGAUUCCGGCAAUAUUUCCAUUUCCGAUAAUAUUUUCCGAUACAUACCAUGUUUCCGUUUCCGGCAACAUCUACGACUUGGAUAAUAUUUAUAUUUCCGAUACGAUCCAUAUUUCCGUUUCCGGCAAUAUCAUCGUUUCCGGAGUAUUCAUUUCUUGAUUGUGACGAUCUCAGCUCCCACUGAAACCAAGAUCCGUCGAUUCCGAAUAUCCAUAGAUGGAGUAUUUAAUUCCAUUAAAUACUUGAUCCGUUUACGUACUAUUUGUGUGACCCUACGGGUUCAGUCAAGAGUAAGCCGUGGAUUAAUAUAAUUAAUUCCACUUGAACUGAAGCGGCCUCUAGCUAGGCAUUCAACUCACUUGAUCUCACUGAAUUAUUAACUUGUUAAUUAAUACUGAACCGCAUUUAUUAGACUUAAUAUUAUAUGCAUACUUGGACCAAGGGCAUUAUUUCCUUCAGAGGUUACUCACAUCAGCUUACAAUUCUUUAUUUUGAGGUUAUUGUAUAGCUUAGUCAAGUGUUAUAUUUCUGAAGUGCUCAUGAUGUUUGAUUUUGUAGAGAAUCCACUACAUGAAAGAAUAAGGACAUGAGUUUAAAUUAUAAUAAUUAUAAAGCCUAAUCAGACCUAUGAUUAAAAUUUUCCGUACUUCUUUACAAAAACAUAUCAAAUAUGUAUUACCCAGCUCCACUAAGUUUUAGAAUUUAAUGAAUUUGAUUUCAUACCGUUGACCUUCACGUCAUCUAUAACUUAUGUAGAGAACUUUUUCGUACUGCUUGUUGGCCUUUGAAGCAUUUGUGUCAUGUCUUUGUUACUUAUCUUGAUUUUGAAAAAUUGUUGUUGCCUUUUCUUAUUUUUGCGUUAUUUAUGCCAUUUCUUUCGUUUAGGAGUCGGUAGUCGCUUCACUUUUUUCCAUAUUUCUAUGCAAAAUACUUAUGUGGCUCUUACUUUGAACAUUUGUGAUUAGAAACUCUGAUCAAAUUAUUGUGUGUUGAUGGAUGUUGAAGGUUUUUUUAGAUACAUGUAUUUCUCGCCUUCAUUCGAAAGGGAUUGAAGCUGGAACUGGAAUAGGAGUGAUCGGAGCUCAAAGUAUUGGAGAGCCUGCAGGGACACAAAUGACUUUGAAAACUUUUCACUUUGCUGGAGUUGCCAGCAUGAAUAUCACCCUUGGAGUUCCACGUAUCAAUGAAAUCAUAAAUGGAAGCAAAAAAAUAAGUACUCCAAUUAUCAUGGAAAAACUUGAGGAUGAUCAGAUUAUGGAGAAUGCUCAAACUGUAAGAGGAAAUAUCGAGAAGACGAUGUUGGGUCAGGUUGCCAAGAGUAUAGUGCUCAUAAUGGAAUCAUUUGGAGCAUU
Spinacia oleracea (spinach) is the source of this 3695-nucleotide long non-coding RNA. RefSeq lists it as uncharacterized. The record is from RefSeq and is a predicted model, not a curated record. The transcript is spliced from 4 exons. Lineage: Eukaryota; Viridiplantae; Streptophyta; Magnoliopsida; Caryophyllales; Amaranthaceae.